RNAcentral lists this transfer RNA (76 nucleotides) under bacterium. RNAcentral's name for it is "tRNA-Ala". It matches the Rfam family "tRNA". From Rfam's summary of the family: Transfer RNA (tRNA) molecules are approximately 80 nucleotides in length. Their secondary structure includes four short double-helical elements and three loops (D, anti-codon, and T loops). The record is from RNAcentral.
GGGGGAUUAGCUCAGUUGGCAGAGCGGCGGCUUUGCAAGCCGUAGGUCGCGGGUUCGAAUCCCGCAUCCUCCACCA